CAAGACCACUCCAUUUUACCCUUCACACUUUGCAUCAUCACUUCAUUUUCACCCUUGGACCAUUGCACACCACAUACACUAUUUGCCGUGCAUUCUCCCUAGCCUAACCUGAUUCUCUAAGGUUUUUGGGGCCUAUAUAUACAUGUUUACACCCCUUGGCAAAGGGUUCACACUCUCAUAUUCAUCAUUCAUCACAGAAAAUUCGUCCAUACAACCUCUAGGUAGCAAAACACCCCAAAAACACCAUUCUAGUGCCUAGAAAACAUAACAACCACUCCACCUUCUUCCACCCUCUUUGCCUAGUUCUCCACCACCCUCCAACCCUCAAACACUCCUCCACACUUACCCUAAACCUUUCCAU
Molecule: long non-coding RNA, 361 nt
Filed under: Malus domestica (apple)
Lineage: Eukaryota; Viridiplantae; Streptophyta; Magnoliopsida; Rosales; Rosaceae
Description: long non-coding RNA (MDOM_LNC019793)
Source: RNAcentral